RNAcentral lists this ribosomal RNA (279 nucleotides) under uncultured bacterium. RNAcentral describes it as "partial 16S ribosomal RNA". It matches the Rfam family "Bacterial small subunit ribosomal RNA", at positions 506 to 784 of the family's 1533-position model. The record is from RNAcentral.
UGCCAGCCGCCGCGGUAAUACGAAGGGUGCUAGCGUUGUUCGGAAUUACUGGGCGUAAAGCGUGCGUAGGCGGCCUUGUAAGUCGGAUGUGAAAGCCCUGGGCUUAACCCAGGAAUUGCAUUCGAUACUGCAGGGCUUGAGUGUGGGAGAGGGAAGCGGAAUUCCUGGUGUAGCGGUGAAAUGCGUAGAUAUCAGGAGGAACACCCGUGGCGAAAGCGGCUUCCUGGCCCAUUACUGACGCUGAGGCACGAGAGCGUGGGGAGCAAACAGGAUUAGAUA